UACGAAGGGGGCUAGCGUUGCUCGGAAUCACUGGGCGUAAAGGGUGCGUAGGCGGGUCUUUAAGUCAGGGGUGAAAUCCUGGAGCUCAACUCCAGAACUGCCUUUGAUACUGAGGAUCUUGAGUUCGGGAGAGGUGAGUGGAACUGCGAGUGUAGAGGUGAAAUUCGUAGAUAUUCGGAAGAACACCAGUGGCGAAGGCGGCUCACUGGCCCGUUACCGAGCUCAGGCGCGACAGCGUGGGGAGCAAACAGG
RNAcentral lists this ribosomal RNA (252 nucleotides) under uncultured bacterium. Its description in RNAcentral is "partial 16S ribosomal RNA". It matches the Rfam family "Bacterial small subunit ribosomal RNA", at positions 524 to 776 of the family's 1533-position model. The record is from RNAcentral.